GGAGUGGCGAACGGGUGAGUAACACGUUGGAACCUGUCCCGAAUUCAGGGAUAACAUCGAGAAAUCGGUGUUAAUACCGGAUGUCCCAGUAAUGGGAAAGAUUUUUUGGUUCGGGAGGGGCCUGCGUAGUAUUAGCUUGUUGGUAGUGUAAUAGACUACCAAGGCUAUGAUGUUUAACUGGUUUGAGAGGAUGAUUAGUUAUAAUGGAACUGAGAUAUGGUCCAUACUCCUACGGGAGGCAGCAGUGAGGAAUUUUUCGUAAUGGGCGAAAGCCUGAUGGAGCGACACCACGUGGAGGAUGAUGGCCUUUUGGUUGUAAACUCCUUUUCUGGGGGAAUAAAUGAUGAAGGUACCCCAGGAAUAAGCACCGGUUAACUACGUGUUAGCAGUUGUGGUAAUACGUAGGGUGCAAGCGUUAUCCGGAAUGAUUGGGCGUAAAGCGUGCGUAGGCGGUUUAGAAAGUUUGUGGUUAAAUUUGGUCGUUUAACGAUCAAAUUGUCACAAAAAUUUCUAAACUAGAGAAUAACAGAGGCAACUGGAAUUCUGCAUGUAGGGGUAAAAUCCGUUGAUAUGCAGAGGAAUACCAAAAGUGAAGGUAGGUUGCUGGGUUAUUUUUGACGCUGUUGCACGAAAGCGUGGGGAGUAAACAGGAUUAGAUAUCCUGGUAGUCCACGCUGUAAAUGAUGGAUACUUGAUGUGGGAGGGAUUUGAUUCCCUUCCGUGUUUAAGUUAAUGUGUUAAGUAUCCCGCCUGGGGAGUACGGUCGUAAGAUUAAAACUCAAAGGAAUAGACGGGGACCCAUACAAGCGGUGGAGCAUGUGGUUUAAUUUGAUAAUAAAUGGGGAAUUUUAUCAAGGCUUGAUAUUUCUGGAACCCAUUAGAAAUAGAGGGGUGCCGUAAGGAACCAGAUGAUAGGUGCUGUAUGGUCGUUGUCAGCUCGUGUUUUGAGGUGUUUGGUUAAGUUUGUAAACGAGUGUAAUCUAUGUCCUAUGUUGUAUGUUUCAUAGGAGACUGCCGGCUUUAAGUCGGAGGAAGGUAUGGAUGACGUUAGAUCAGUAUGGCCCUUAUGCCUUGGGUUAUAUACGUGCUAUAAUGGCUAGUAUAAUGGGUAGCGAACCCGUAAGGGGGAGCUAAUUCCAUUAAAGCUAGUCUUAGUUCGGAUUGAGGGCUGAAAUUUGCCCUCAUGAAGUUGGAAUCUCUAGUAAACGCGAAUUAGAUAUGUCGCGUUGAAUAUGUUUUUGGGUCUUGUAUUUAUUGCCCGUCAUAUUAUGAAAGGUGGGGGUGCCUGAAGUCGCCUUAGUCCCUUGGGACGGGUGCCUAAGGUAAAACCACUGAUUGGAUGAAGUUGAAAUAAGG
This 1356-nucleotide ribosomal RNA is filed under the name metagenome. Its description in RNAcentral is "bacterial SSU rRNA". It matches the Rfam family "Bacterial small subunit ribosomal RNA". The record is from RNAcentral.